CUGUCAAUCACGUGCUGGCCCUCGUGAUUGGCAGCAAAUGUGGUGGGAACGCCGGUGUGUUUUCUGAUAGUUUUGAGUACAGACAGCAGACAGUUGUUUUGGACAAAUAACCUGUAAAAGUGGAGACUGACAGCUAAAACGUCGUGGAUUUAUAGUACAACAAGUGUAUUCUAGAGCUGACGAGGACUAAAGUGGUGAAUGUCAGUACCUCGUGCACCGGCACUUCCACCUGAACGACCUGAUUCAGUGGCGCGUGUUUACUGCGAUGCUGUGACACUUUGCUGUGAGCGGAAAUUUGGGCGAAAAGAAGUCGACUACUCGGCUUUAUUUAUCUGCCCCCCCGUGGUGAUGUGCUGAGGCUAAAGGGGACCGACUCCAACAACACCUAGUGAGAGGGAACACAUCCGCAGCACACGAAGGAGAUCAUUAGCAGUCAUGCUCCUGCUCUUUGAAGUCUGUGAGGUCUGCUGUGUCUUUCAUAGCCAUGCAAAUCCAGGGGACAACCCCAGCCACCUGUUCUCAGACACAUCUGUCCACGGGCCAAAGCUCUACUCCAGCGCCGUUCAGCUGCCUCGCUCCACUCUGAUCCUCAAAGGGCCGGAGGAUGGCAAAGCAGCUAUUUUAGGGGCUUGCUUGAAAUGGUAGUGCAGACCUUAUGCUCACUAAUGAACAUACGCCACAGUAUGAGCACAGACUUUGAACAGAAAUUUGUUGCAUGUGCAAUGUGUUUUCACUGCUCAAUACUUGGGUCUCUGAUCCAGUCAGUUUCAGUCUUUAACAGCUGUUUUCAUGCCUGUCUGCAUUGAGAAACUAGUAAAAAAAAAAAAUAUAGCACAAGUGAGAAACGAAGUAGAAAAAGAUUUUCUGUCUCCCACAUCAACACACUAUAUACAAUACCAUCUCCCCAGUAUAAAAAUAUAAUCUUAUUUAUCAUAAUAUGGUGUAUUC
Solea solea (common sole) is the source of this 948-nucleotide long non-coding RNA. RefSeq lists it as uncharacterized. Lineage: Eukaryota; Metazoa; Chordata; Actinopteri; Pleuronectiformes; Soleidae. The record is from RefSeq and is a predicted model, not a curated record. The transcript is spliced from 3 exons.